GGGGCGAGCGCGGUAGCAGUACCUGGCGCGACCGGCGGAAGGGUGCGUAACGACGUGAGCAACAUACCCGUAUCAGGGGGAGUAACCGAUGGAAACGUACGCCUAAUACCCCAUAACAACAUUCUUCGCGAUGGGGAGUGUUUGAAAGUUACGGCGGAUACGGAUUGGCUCGCGUGACAUUAGCUGGUUGGCGGGGUAACGGCCCACCAAGGCGACGAUGUCUAGGGGUUCUGAGAGGAAGGUCCCCCACACUGGAACUGAGACACGGUCCAGACUCCUACGGGAGGCAGCAGUGAGGAAUAUUGGUCAAUGGACGCAAGUCUGAACCAGCCAUGCCGCGUGCAGGAAUGAGGCCCUAUGGGUCGUAAACUGCUUUUGCUGCGGAGCAAUAAGUGCCACGUGUGACACGAUGAGAGUACGCAGCGAAUAAGCAUCGGCUAACUCCGUGCC
This 450-nucleotide ribosomal RNA is filed under the name uncultured bacterium. Its description in RNAcentral is "bacterial SSU rRNA". It matches the Rfam family "Bacterial small subunit ribosomal RNA", at positions 66 to 509 of the family's 1533-position model. The record is from RNAcentral.